RNAcentral lists this long non-coding RNA (2115 nucleotides) under Mus musculus (house mouse). RNAcentral describes it as "long non-coding RNA chr8:35646147-35648262". The record is from RNAcentral. Lineage: Eukaryota; Metazoa; Chordata; Mammalia; Rodentia; Muridae.
GGGAUGCUGAGUGGCAAAGGAUGCUGAUGGAGACUUAAGGAAGUGGCAGAUCAGUGGCUCAGGAGAGCCAAGGAUGUGUGUGUGUGUGUGUGUGUGCGUGCUCCAGUUGGAGGUUGCUCUACUUCACACUGAAUGUGCACAGAUUUGAACUUGAGCCACCCAGAAAAUUAGGUAGCAAAUCUCCCUGCAUGGUAUUUUAAGCCACCACUGACUAUUUAAAGCUAAAUGACUCUUGAAAUAAACCAGUUCAGUCUCUUCCUUUUAGAGCUGACAACUGAGGCCCCAGGAUGCAUAGUUUGCCAGAGAGGAGUUAGAAAACCAGCUCCAGAGCACAGCUUCUGCCCUUUCCUCCUAGGCUUCCACAACAGGAUUCUCAAGUUAGAAAAACAAGCAAGCAAGCAAACAAACAAACAAACAAACCAUGUUCAGCAUAAAGUCAAGAGCUCAAGAAUUUUCUUGUCAUAAUUUAUUAGAACCACACAAUAACUUGCAAAUAAUAACAGCUAUCAAGAAAGGUACCCUUCUGUGAAAGUUGCAUUUAACUAUGGAGGUCUGUCAGAGAGUGUACACUAAUCUGAGGUGGGAAACCAGGGUUCUGGUGAGGAGGAAGCAAAGCCCAGCUGUCACUGGGGGCUGGCCCGUGUCUCCACACUUCUUCCCGGACUCCUCUCCCUUACGUGCUUGGUCCCAGAUCCAGCAUCUGUCUUCACUGCUCUUUGGUCGUGGGCACAUCCUCAUUUACUUGUCAGUCUCCCUUUCUCUGUCUCAGGCCCCUGACUCCAUCUGCAAGCCCAUCCCCAUCAAACUCUCUGGCUUCAUCUUAGCCACUCAGUUGUUCCCAUCUUGUGGUUCCGAUCAUAGUCCUCUAUCUCCAUCUUGAUCCACUUCAGUCCACUGUGACCCUCUGAAUCCAAUGUGUCAUUAUCUCAGUCUCCCAAUGCCAUCCCAGCACCUUGUCCCUAUCUUAGUCCCCUGACUUACUUUGGCUCCCUGACUCAUUUUGGUCCUUCUGUCCUUGACUCAUCUCAUCCCUCUGCCCCCGUUCUACUGACCCUUCUCCAUGUCCAUCUCUGUCCCCUGCUCACAGAUGACCCAGUCUCCAUCUAAGUUGCUAGGCUUGUCCUGGCCUCUGCCCCCAUUGUGCCUCAGGCUCUUGCCUUAGGCAUGGCCGCAUUGUGGUAUCAUCUCUGUCAUUCCCUGAGAACAAGCUCUCUUUCCUGCUCCAGAAGCAGCUCCCUGCAGCCAUACAGUACCUGAGCACCUCCUCCUGAGUCUUCACUCUAGUUGCCCUUCCCCUAUCUCCCAGAUUAAUCCUGAUGGUCACUUCAGUGUCUUACUCCCCGGGGAGCAGCGUGACUACCCUGCACCAGCUUUUCCCCACCAUCCUGCUUUUUGCUGCCACAGUUGCCUGCUGUAGUUCUGCAGCAGACCCAGUGUCACUGGGAUCUCCUGCUAACACUUGUCUGUGUUGAUCCCAUCCAGUCCUUGCAACAACCCCAUGAGCUUUGAAGUAGAGAAUCUCAGGUCAGAGCUAUCAAACUCAUUGUCAGGGACCCACUGGCAGAAUGUCGUAGAGCACGGACUCACCUUUGGCUGAUGUGACUGCACUGUCCUGUUGAUGCAAGGGUUAUCUGAAGCUCAUCAGAUCCUAGUCCAGCAGUUACCCUUCUCUGUAGUGUGCUUGUCCUAGUUCAGCAGUCCUUCCAAGAUCUAUAGUGCCCUCUGAUGAUGAUGAUGCAGGGCUCCCCAGAUACGAUCCCCCCCCUUCCUCUAUGCGUUGUAGUGUGGCUGUGCGAGUCUGGAGUUUAUCAGUUCCCUCUGUGAUUCCGUGCCUGCUUUGCAUCAACGUUCUUGUGCCUUGGGGCCCCUGUUAGGGUCAACGCAGGUUCCUUGAACACAAGCGCCAUGACCUGUCAAUACGAUGACAGGGAUCGAUGCUAACAUUAUGAACGGUCAGGUAACACAUACCAUGGGGAUGCCCUGAUGAGGGGGGUAAUUUCUGCCCCUGGAAGGACAGAUUAGAUAGUGAGAGGGUCUCUCGUGAUACUCAAUACGUGGUAUAAAACUUAGCAGCUGCUCAUUUGGAGAAUUUCCCAUUUGACAUUUUUGGAUUGC